Molecule: long non-coding RNA, 325 nt
Organism: Corvus hawaiiensis (hawaiian crow)
Lineage: Eukaryota; Metazoa; Chordata; Aves; Passeriformes; Corvidae
Exons: 3
Source: RefSeq, a predicted model, not a curated record
GGCAGAGAGUCCCCAUCAGCCCUGGGAGCAGGGAGGGUCCCCGUGCUCUCCAGCCAGGAGAGCCCAGCAGUGCGGCAAAUGUCCUUGCACUGGUUUAACUGGAGGAGACACUUUGCCCUUCUGCAGGUGUGGAGCUGGACAAAGAUUUAUGAGUGCCUGAAGAAGAGAGAAGUGAGCAGCCUUAAUUGAAGACCUCAAAGGAUGAGGAAAUGGCCCUCCCAAACACUGCAGCCGGCACAGACAGUGAUAUUUUAUGCUGCUGGGAGAUGUUAUUGAUAUCAGAUUGUUUAUUGUAAUCCUGUAAUGUGCUCGGUUACUGCUGUUU